UACGUAGGGGGCUAGCGUUGUCCGGAAUCAUUGGGCGUAAAGCGCGUGUAGGCGGUCCGGUAAGUCCGCUGUGAAAGUCGGGGGCUCAACCCUCGAAAGCCGGUGGAUACUGUCGGGCUAGAGUGCGGAAGAGGCGAGUGGAAUUCCUGGUGUAGCGGUGAAAUGCGCAGAUAUCAGGAGGAACAUCAGUGGCGAAGGCGGCUUUCUGGACUGAAACUGACGCUGAGGUGCGAAAGCGUGGGGAGCAAACAGGAUUAGAGACCCCUGUAGU
This 271-nucleotide ribosomal RNA is filed under the name uncultured bacterium. RNAcentral describes it as "partial 16S ribosomal RNA". It matches the Rfam family "Bacterial small subunit ribosomal RNA", at positions 524 to 794 of the family's 1533-position model. The record is from RNAcentral.